UCCAAAGCACAGAGACGUUAACUGAUUGCUCCAAAUUACACAGCUUGGAAAGCAGUCCUACUCCCAAUUUGCCAUAGGAAGACUAGGAUUACAGUCACACACUGAAGAUUUGAACUUGGGACUACAGCUUAUGUGAGGAAAUCUCUCUCGGCCAAGCUGGGGCAGAGCUUUCAAGCCAGUGGAGCCAAACGGAGAAAGCACAAACAGGAACCACAGCCCUCCUCUUGGUUCAGCUAACUAGAAGAAAUGUAUUCCACUAUAAGGGUUCCCUGAUCUUCAAGGGGAGGAACCAGAUAGAGACCUCCAAUUUAGACUUUCUCUUCACAUAAUGUCUGACUGUGGGUCUCUGCACUGGCUAUCAUCUUCUGCCAGAAGCAGCCUCUCUGAUGAUGACUGGACAAGGCACUGAUCUUUUCCUGUUCCGGUGCCUGAUGCUAUGGCUCUUCUGCUGUUAUGAAGAGUACCUCUGAAUGGUCAGCUGGUGUUGGCAGAGGUGGAGGUUCAGCUGGUGCUGGCUCCAUGCUGUGUGCUGGAGCUGUCUGCUCUUGUCUCUGCUGUAGAUUAGGAUUGGUCUGUUCCAUGUGCUAUAUAAUUCUGGAGUGCAAGCUGAAGUGGUGAUUGCUACCCAGGGCAAGAUCUUCACAUGGUCAUGGCAGUGUUGUGUGUGAUAUUCCCAGCCACACAAGUCUGUCUCAGGCCUCCAUCUGUGGCUCAUCUGUAACAGCCUUUUAACUGAAGCCAAUCAUGUGGUUGAGGAUCGGGAAGGUGUGAUUUUCAUAAGAAUCCAGAAAAAAGCACAAUGUAUGAAAUCACUAAAUGAGACAAAACAAUUUUACUCAAUAAUUCAAUCUACUCUCCACCCCUGUGCUGAACGUUCACUGCAAGAAACACCGGCAGGCUAUUACAAGUAGAUGAAGAACAACUAUUCUACAAAAGACUAUGAGAGGACAAUGGAACAGUGACUGGGCAAGGGAGACCUAUUUUGAAUGAAGGCAGCAUCAUCUGACAGACUGACAGACAAGAGGAAAAGGAGCUGGACCUGCAGGCUUCUGGAUUUUGCAGCUGUAUUAGUUAUUGUGAGAAAAUAUUGUCAGAAGGAACUUAAGGAAGGGAGGACUUCACACAAGAAAUAGAGAACUGGCAACAAAGUAUAAAUUUUAAGAGAUGCUUGCUCCCUCAACAUCCUCUCCUUGCCAAUGUGUGACGUGCUCUGGGGCACUUUCCAAUCAUUGCUGCUGUUAGCCAGCUAAUCAUCAGAGUCGUCAACAUGCUGACCCCAGAGAGCACAUGAUUCCCCAUCAUCAGCCUCUUUGCACAAUGCAGCCUCAUCAAUGAGAGGAGUUCCAAACAUCCCUGCAUUCUCUGGCUCAAGAUUGGCAUCAUGGGGAGCCUGCCAGGACUCCAGGAGUGGAGCCAGGGGAUCAGAGUGCCAAA
Molecule: long non-coding RNA, 1434 nt
Organism: Peromyscus maniculatus bairdii (prairie deer mouse)
Lineage: Eukaryota; Metazoa; Chordata; Mammalia; Rodentia; Cricetidae
Source: RefSeq, a predicted model, not a curated record